UUUUUCUUUGAUACGAACGCCUUCUAUUCACUGCACCGUUUAAUUAAUAAACGAUUGGAGGGGAAAAGAACGGCUAGAAGAAAUUCAAUUACCACCUCAUACCCUACAUGCUCAAAACUUUUACGCAUAUUUUGGUAACUGGGUCAUUGAAACACAC
Molecule: small nucleolar RNA, 157 nt
Filed under: Nadsonia fulvescens var. elongata DSM 6958
Lineage: Eukaryota; Fungi; Ascomycota; Dipodascomycetes; Dipodascales
Description: Small nucleolar RNA snR8
Rfam family: Small nucleolar RNA snR8
Source: Rfam by way of RNAcentral